UCCAAAAAUUAGGCAAGUCCACUCUAUAUACUUAUUCAAAGUGGAAGUAACUAUAUAGAGUGUAGGCUCAGGGGUCCACAAUGCUUACAUGGAUGCAUGAUCAAAGCUGCUCAUCAGUUUUAUCCUUAAAGAAAAAGGGAAGAAAAAUCUGUCCACAUAUUUAUAUAUAAAAAAUUCCAUAGCUAUCCUCCUCCAUCUGCUAGUUACAAGUGGAGCAUUGGUAACAGAGGGGGGCUUUGCUACUUCAUAUGGGGAUGGAUAUGGACUUCAUUCGAUAUGGUUGUUUUUGCAGGAAAUAUUUAUGACUGAACAUUUAAUUUUAGAUAGUGUAACUCAGAUUAUGAGUGUAUAUACUGUUUUAUUACUUGACCUCUAUGCAUGGUAGGUUGGUGCUGACAAAGGUCCUCUAUGUGGCAUGAGUUCUAGUUCUUGGGGUGCAUUUGAGAAGUCUCGCCUCAGGCGUUGCUGAAGUCCAUUGAUUUUUUUUUCCUUUUGCCUUUCCUUGUGUCUCAAUCUGUAAAUUUUCUGUCCAUUAUGUAACCUUUCAUUCUCAGGCCCCCUGUAAAUGAGGCUAGUUGUAAAUGAAUUACAAGUUGUGUUUGAAUGCUAAUUUAAUCUUGUAAAGGUCUUUUGAUUUAGAAGAUUCA
Molecule: long non-coding RNA, 647 nt
Organism: Magnolia sinica
Lineage: Eukaryota; Viridiplantae; Streptophyta; Magnoliopsida; Magnoliales; Magnoliaceae
Exons: 4
Source: RefSeq, a predicted model, not a curated record